This is a long non-coding RNA of Herpailurus yagouaroundi (jaguarundi), 444 nucleotides long. RefSeq lists it as uncharacterized. NCBI's taxonomy places the organism in Eukaryota, Metazoa, Chordata, Mammalia, Carnivora, Felidae. The transcript is spliced from 3 exons. The record is from RefSeq and is a predicted model, not a curated record.
CUGACACAGGGCUUGACCCCAUGAACCGCGAGAUCCUGACCUGAGACGAAAUCAAGAGUCGGACACCGAGGACUGAGCUACCCAGGUGUCCCUCAUUAACCACCUUUUGCUGAGGUUUGGGCCUGAGGAGACUCCAGAAGAUUGUUGCUCUUUCUAAGGAGACAUUCUUGUUUGUCGCAAGUCCAAUCUGGCUCUGAUCUUUGUUCUGACGCUUUAAUGGUGGGGCCUCACUGAGCUUGUCCUCUCUUGGAAAUGAACACAACCCCUACUUGUCACAGCUGGGAGUUCUGGUGAGGCAAGAAGUGAUCGGGCUCCGUGAAGUAAGGCUUUAUUUAGACACGUGGCUUCAGCUCCAUUCCAAUGACUUAGCAUCCCCGAGAUGUUGUAGUAAAGGGUUUUGUGCAUUAAGAUCUGAGGUCAUGGCAUGUUUAAGUUCAUGCUGCC